This 100-nucleotide ribosomal RNA is filed under the name uncultured bacterium. RNAcentral describes it as "partial 16S ribosomal RNA". The record is from RNAcentral.
CACACCGCCCGUCACCACCAUGGAAGUUGGUUCUACCUUAAGCAGCUGCGCUAACCGCAAGGAGGCAGGCUACCACGGUAGGGUCAAGUGACGUGGGGUG